Molecule: non-coding RNA, 209 nt
Organism: Oryza glumipatula
Lineage: Eukaryota; Viridiplantae; Streptophyta; Magnoliopsida; Poales; Poaceae
Source: Rfam
AAUAAGCGCAGUUUUGCACUAUUCAUCUUUAACAUUUGACCGUUCGUCUUUUGUGAAAAAAUUUUAUGAUUAAUAUUUAUAUUGUUAUUAUAUGAUAAAAUAUGAAUAAUACUUUAUAUGUGACUAUUUUUUAAAAAAAAAAUUCAUAAACUUUUUAAAUAAGACGAACGGUCAAACGUUGGACACGGAUUUCCACGGCUACACUUAUU